CCCUUAGAUGUUCUGGGCCGCACGCGCGCUACACUGACGAAUGCAACGAGCUUAUAACCUUGGCCGAAAGGUCUGGGUAAUCUCCAAAUUUCGUCGUGAUGGGGAUAGAUUAUUGCAAUUAUUAAUCUUCAACGAGGAAUGCCUAGUAAGCGCAAGUCAUCAGCUUGCGUUGAUUGCGUCCCUGCCCUUUGUACACACCGCCCGUCGCUCCUACCGAUUGAAUGGUCCGGUGAAGCGCUCGGACCGCGGCCUCUUGACGGUUCGCUGUCGAUUGGCUGUGGGAAGUUCGUUAAACCUUAUCAUUUAGAGGAAGGAGAAGUCGUAACA
RNAcentral lists this ribosomal RNA (327 nucleotides) under uncultured eukaryote. RNAcentral's name for it is "partial 18S ribosomal RNA". It matches the Rfam family "Eukaryotic small subunit ribosomal RNA", at positions 1470 to 1796 of the family's 1831-position model. The record is from RNAcentral.